GGGGGAGGUGCUUUGUUUCUGGUCCCAGUGUUUUUGUCUUCCUGCUGUUCCAGCCUUUCUGACUUCGAAGGGGAAAUCAGAGUGUGGGCUGUCCUCACCACUUUCCGCAGCUCCCAGAUGAAGAAAGCUUUAUUUGCACACGCACUUUGGACAGUUGUAAGCAGAAAAUGACCAUUAAAAUAAGCAGGCACAGUUUCAACACUGGGUCAGCAUUAAGCAACACUCACAGUGAGAAGACAAAACAAACAAACGGGCUCACCUCAUUUUUCUUGCCAAGUGGGGAAGAGUCAUUUUCUCCCCAAUCCAAGCAGCAUUUUCCUGUUCCUUUCUGUUGACAGCAAUUUGCCUCCUAAGAAGAUGAAAUGCCUUAGAUUAAAAACUUUGAGUAGGAUGCUCCUGGAGGAAGUGGCCCAGAAGCCAUGUCCUAUGAUAAUCACUUUCCAAGGUCAAGUGCUCAAAUCCUUCUCAUUGGAAAUUAGCAGCAUGCAUCCUCCACUCUCAGAGAGCAAAGAAUCCUCUGGAAAUCAAGCCAUCUAAGAUCUGGACACAGCAAGAAUCUAAGGACCUUUCUUCAAGUUGUGAGCUAAGAACAUGAGCAAGAAACAAAGUCCUGCCCUGGCUUCUGGGCUGGGAUACCUUAUCUUCUUGGACACAGAGUCAUGCUUGGACACCAUCACGGUGCAGGCGCCGCAGCCUCCUCUUCCGCAGGCGUACUUGGUUCCUGUGAGACGUACUGGAAGGGACACAGUCAAGGAAAAGGUGCCAAGGCAAACAUUUGCUUUCGGUAUAGCUGGCGCCCUAGGGGGUCACUUCUGAGGAAAGUCUUUUUGAAGGGUGAGUGUAGGUAUGAGAAGCCAUUCACCUGCCUUCCAGUCUUAGUGUGACACUGGGCAUAUUAACCUCUCCCUGCCUGUCUUCUCACAAAGAGGGAGAAGCAAUACCUAUUUUAUCUUCACAGGCUUAUAGUAAGCAUCUUGUAGGAUAAUGGGUGUAAAGCCCUUUGAAAAAUCCUAUUUUAGGCGGGGCAUGGUGGCUCACACCUAUAAUCCCAGCACUUUGGGAGGCCGAGGCAGGCGGAUCACCUGAGGUCAGGAGUUUGAGACCAGCCUGACGAACAUGCAGAAACCCCAUCUCUACUAAAAAUACGAAAAAUUAUCCAGGUGUGGUGGUGCAUGCCUGUAAUCCCAGCUACUCAGGAGGCUGAGGCAGGAGAAUCGCUUGAACCUGGGAAGCAGAGGUUGUAGUGAGCUGAGAUCAAGCCAUUGGAUUCUAGGCUGGGCAACAAGAGCAAAACUCCAUCUCAGAACAAAACAAAACAAAACAAAAACAAAAACAAAAAAAAAAAGAAAAAAGAAAAAUCCUAUUUUAUUAUAGGAUAUUCUUAAAUGUCUUCUUCUGGGUUUCAAUCAUGUAAUUGUAAGAGAGGAAGGUUAUUUUUAGCAACUCAAUUUGUGUUGCAUUUGAAAGCAAAUUGGUAAUUUUUGGAGGAAUCUCCUAUCCUUGUUUACGGAGCCCACCAAGUGUCCCUGUGCUGUGGCUUGGCCUGGGUCCAAUCCCAAACCAGUCCCUUCUCUUUAUUUAUCCUUCUCCCCGACUGUGGUUUAUUUCCAAGCGAUUUAUAGAAUUGGAGGUAAUUAACUAAACUGGCUAAAAAGAUUUCAGAAUAUACAACUCUGUACUGCUAGUGCCUGUUUUUUUUUUUUUUUUUUUUUUUUUUUAACUCUAAGCUUAUUCAUCAAAAUUAAGUCAAAACAUAAAAUGCUUAUCAGAGUGGUAAUGUAAAUGAAGAGGGGGCUGCACGUGACUGGAGAGCUUGGGCCCUUUAGGAAAGGGCUGGAACAGUCCCUGCUCAGUCCUCAGCAAGACUGUUGCCACGCAGGGAUGUCUGUCUCCCCAUUUUUCAAGAGAAGCUGAAAAAUCUUGAUUUUUAAAUAAUAUGAAAUUUUCUAAUUUUUAAACAUCAACAACUAAUUAAAAACCAUGGGCUUUUAAACAAAA
Long non-coding RNA from Callithrix jacchus (white-tufted-ear marmoset), 1998 nucleotides. RefSeq lists it as uncharacterized. The record is from RefSeq and is a predicted model, not a curated record. Lineage: Eukaryota; Metazoa; Chordata; Mammalia; Primates; Cebidae.